This 71-nucleotide transfer RNA is filed under the name Methanoculleus marisnigri. Its description in RNAcentral is "tRNA-Gly". It matches the Rfam family "tRNA". Rfam says of the family: Transfer RNA (tRNA) molecules are approximately 80 nucleotides in length. RNAcentral also lists the same sequence under 12 other names. Lineage: Archaea; Methanobacteriati; Methanobacteriota; Methanomicrobia; Methanomicrobiales; Methanomicrobiaceae. The record is from RNAcentral.
GCGAUAGUAGUCUAAUGGUAGGACAGGGGCUUCCCAAGCCUCUAGUCCGGGUUCGAUCCCCGGCUAUCGCA